This 330-nucleotide ribosomal RNA is filed under the name uncultured eukaryote. RNAcentral's name for it is "partial 18S ribosomal RNA". It matches the Rfam family "Eukaryotic small subunit ribosomal RNA", at positions 1470 to 1796 of the family's 1831-position model. The record is from RNAcentral.
CCCUUAGAUGUCCUGGGCUGCACGCGCGCUACACUGAUGUGUCCAGUAAGCACCUAACCUCUUCCGAAAGGAACGGGUAACCUUUGCAAAGCACAUCGUGAUGGGGAUAGAUUAUUGCAAUUAUUAGUCUUGAACGAGGAAUUCCUAGUAAGCACAAGUCAUCAGCUUGUGUUGAUUACGUCCCUGCCCUUUGUACACACCGCCCGUCGCUCCUACCGAUUGAAUGAUCCGAUGAAUAUCAUGGAUUGAGAGUACGAAUGGGUUCGCUCAUUUCUGCUGCUCGAGAAGUGAAGUAAAUCUUAUCAUUUAGAGGAAGGAGAAGUCGUAACA